This 6318-nucleotide long non-coding RNA is filed under the name Sus scrofa (pig). Its description in RNAcentral is "lncRNA (ENSSSCG00050056269.1)". The record is from RNAcentral. Lineage: Eukaryota; Metazoa; Chordata; Mammalia; Artiodactyla; Suidae.
UUUUAUUUUCAUUUCCUUUGAUUGCAAUUCCAUUGUGAAUAAUCUUUAUUUUCAUGGUCUUUGAAAAAUGAUGCAGAGAAGUGAGAAGGCUGCAGUGGCAGGGCUGUGAUGGGUCUCAUGAAAUAACUUGCUGGCUUCCUUCUUCCUUAUAAAUAUAGUCUUGAGUUCCUAAUUAUUAAGAUGGAAAAUUUGGCUCUUGAAAAUAAGGCUACAGAAUAAUGAUACUUGUCUUCGAUUUCUUUUUCUUCACAUAAAUGGUUUCAUUUUCUUUCUUAUGAGAAUGAAGUUUUUCAUCUUCACCCUUAGUCAAAAUACUUUCCUUUGCUCUGAUGCAGUUAUUUUUCUUUUUAAACAUUUUCCACAUGCAGAAUAGAAUAAAUUGAAUCAUUCGUCUGGAAAAAAGAUCUAUUUUUUUUUCUUUUGUCUGGGUCAUGGGUGAAUGAGAGACUAGACAGUUUAUGCACAUUCUAUACUGUACAUAUACACAUUAAACGACCAUUUAUUACUUUGCUGAUCAACCAUUUUUAUCAAUCAUUUUAAAUGAGUCUGUAGCAAAGCUGAAGUAGAGUCCCUGUGAUUACAGCAAGGAGAGUCGGUUGCUCUAAAAAUGGCCAUUUUGCUACUGUUUUCCCCAUCGCCACCUGCUGAAAUGUGCGGCAUCCAUCAGUGCUGAUAAAACCUUUUCUCAUCCUGGUCCAUGUUUGAGAUUAAUUACAAGCACAUCCUUCCUGUUUAAAGAUGUUCUGACCAAUGUUGGUAUCAGGCAGCGUUCAGGGAGGAAACUUUUCCGAACAGGUGUCCACAUGUAACAUCACGCGGCCACGAGAGGCAGUUGAAGGGAGUGGACUUGGAAGUCCGGAGGCCCCUGCCCUCCCUGCUGUAAACCUGGGGGGUUGGAGCCGGUGGGAUGCAGGUCCUGGCCUGAUAGGGCUGCUGCGUGUCACUCGUUCACUGGGCAGGAAGAGAGGGGAAAGGCUUUCCUUGAUAUUUCCCGCCGCCCAGUUCUGAGCAGAAGUCUGCAUUUUCCAUUGUCCCUGUGUCCAUCCCGCCAAACCUGCCGUCCCUGGAACCGUGCAUCCCAUUGAAUGGAAGGAGGUGGAAACCCGCCCUGUGAAGUCACAGCUGUGCGAGCAGCACGGUGCCAGGCGUGGCUCUUUGUACUCUGGAAUCAGAUGAUUGACGGCUGGCAGGGAUGAGCACGUGCUCACUGAGCCUGGGGGCUUUGAUCUUCACCACGUCCACCGAGGCAGCGGAAAUUUCCUGGGAAGGUGACAGGGAUUUCCUAAACCAAAUGCAAAUAGAUGUUUAACCUUCACCUCCAGCUCACUCCCAGAGGCUAUGCAAGUGCAUGCAAAGAAAACACUGGUUUGUAAAUUAGAAAAUGUUGAUUUUUACAGAGUAUUCCUAUUUGAAUAGGCUUACACUUACAUUGCAGCAUCUUACUUUUUUUUUUUUUUAGUUAUUACAUAGCUGAUGAUUCUUCUGAAUUUUCAAUAACAGAUACGUGUUAUAUAGAGAUAAUGUAACUUGAAGGCCUUGCUAGGAUUGGGGAAGGACUUAGCAGAUGGCAGGUUUUAUCUUUUGUGACAAAAGACUCUCACUCUUUUGCCAGUCCUGCCAGUUAUGGGCUAUAUAUACGUCAUCCUUUUUCUUUAAUUAACUGAUGCUAAUAAAAUACUGUAUAAAAUUUAGUAAACAUAGAAAACAUUUUCCAACAUGAAUACAUGCUAUAAUUAACCUGUACUUGUGAAUGCCUCAUGAAAAAAUAAGUGUGUAGCUUAGCAUUUAUAUGUUAGGAAAAAUAUGGAGUUAUAUGAGUUACAGUCCAGAUUUUGUCAUGAAAGUUAUGUACUUUAGGCUCAGAUAUGACCCUAGUUUUCUGGUCAGGAAAAAAGGUGUUGAUGAAAUCAGAUGAUCUCAAGGUAAUUUUCAGUUAAAAGCCUGUGAUCUGCGAUCUUUCCUGUAUUCUCUCCACUGUUUCCUGUCUCAUCGAUGUGGUUAUUACAGGUGUUUUUAUUAUUAAUUUCCUCCCAAAGAUAUUAUUCUCUUUGUGUGUGUGUGUUAGUUUUUUUUAAGUAAAAUGAUUUUACUAUAUUUUUAAUUUUUGGAAAAUAUUGUGUCUUUGCAUGGACAUUUUGGACCACUCGUCUGCUCUUUAAAAUUUCUUUGUAAUGGAGUCAGUGCCUCGUUUCUCUCUGCCGAUGCCCCAGAUGCCACCUUUCCUUCCAUUUGGAGCCCUGCCUUCCCCUAUACGUUUGAUUUUAUGAUUGGAAAAUGGGAUUAUUCGCUACAGAACUUUGCUUCAGAAACACAUUGAGGACUGUGUGGAUAUUGAGAGAAGUGGACCUUUCUUCAGGGGCAGUGGCAGUGGUUAGUGGGUUCCCAUGAAGGGGCUUCCAAGCACAGAUCUCUGUCCACACGCUCGGCCUUCCAGAAGACAGGUACCACUGUGUCGCCAGGACAUCUCACCCCGGGGGGGGUGUGUGUGUCUUUCUGCAACACCUGAAAACUGAUCAGCAGUGCAGCCUCUCAGGCCCUGCCCAGAUCUCCUGACUCAGAAUCCGCAUUUUAACAUCCUCAGGUGGUUCUUAACACACACGUGAGUGUGGGAAGCUGCUCGAGAACCUCCUCAUCCUUUGGAUCAACUUUGGGCCGGGAGUUUGGGAACGUUUCCUCCUGGGGCAGCUCUGUCCUUCCCCUUAGCCAGCUCUGCCUCUGGGACAACAAGGAGCAGGCAGGACCCUCUGAUUUCACGUGUCACUACUGAUAAGAGGGGCAUGGCAAUUGUCACUUGAGCGUUAAACAGAGGAGAAUCAACCCUCUUUGAAUUCAUUCAUGUUUCCUUGCUGUUGCAUUGGCAUACUGGAAAAAUGUGUAGACAUAUUAAUUCUUUUAAUAACAAUAGUGUUUGAACCCAGGUCUUCGUAAGCAUUUUUCUUUAAUGUUUGAUGGACUUUCCUCAUGGAUCUAAUGGGCUCCAAUACUUCCCGUCUCUGUCCGCUUGUGUCCCCUCAUACCUGUUGGUUAUCAGAGUCACCAAGGUGGGUUUUGAUGGUUCUAGAUUCCGCGUUCCCACCUCCCGAGCUUCCUGGGGACCACAGGGCCCCCAGACACUGGUGUUUGUGAAAACCUUCUCGGGGGUUUCUGGGGACGUGGCCUGUUGGGGGCCCGUUGACCUGACUUUGCAGAGCCCCCGUCUCAUCUCUUCUUUGAGUGAUGGAGGUGGAAUGAGAGCAGUUACGCCGAGGGCCGAAAGCACUUCCCAGACGGCCCAAGGGUCCUCACCCUGCCGCGAGCUCCCGUUGUUUUUUCCUUCCAUUUGGUGCCUCUUGCCAAUUUCUUAGCUCCACACACAGCCCUCCGGGGCCACUGCCAACACUUCUGAGACAGAGUUGAUUUGGGUUCCUGUCAUUGUAGCACUCCAGCUUCUGGGGUGUUAUAAUUGUCUUCCGUUUGACUUGCAGACAUAGUCGCAAAAUGUAUGUCAUUUGUUUAUUCUCCAGGCCCCACCCAUGACCUCCACCACCAGGUAGCUCCCUCUGAGGGCUUCGCGCUGGGCUCCUGGUCCUUCCGCCGUAAGCUCCGACCUCACAUCCAGGAAGGGAACCAACUGGAAGGUUCACGGGCUGAUCCCUGGGCGCCUUUUCUUACAGACCUCGACUCGACACACUCUCUCCCCUCUGUGGGGGCGGCGGUGGGGGGCAGCGAGUGGCAGGUCUUUCUCUGACUGACGCAGAACCGAUUUUCCCUUCCGUUUUCUCAAGGCUCAGUUCCAGCGACACCAGUAAUUUUGCCUUCGAAACACAGAAACUCCCGCCACGAAAUUCCUUCGAUCCCUCGCUGCCCUUUUUGCCAAGCGCAGAAUGAUGCCUAAUGGUCAAAUGCUGAGAUGCCGAUCACUCAGUUUGAAGUGAAUCCUCAAACUCGGUGACCUGGCCUUGGAGGUGAGCCCCGAAUGCUGCUGCACUGCAGAGGGUCCCUUGGGCCUCCAGACCCCUUCGAGAAUGGAAUGGAGGGGAAGAGUGAAGUGAUAAGAACACUGGGGGGGUCUUCUGGUGUUGGGGUCGGUGGUUUGCCUUCACAAAUGGAAUGAGUUUCUUUGAUUUAAAGAAGGCUUUUGCUUCAUCUUCGACCAUGUUCACGGGCUCGGCGACAUCACCCCAAGUACGCAGGUGGAGACCGCCUCCGCCCGCAUUUCUGGAAUUCAGCACCGUCGUCUGUAACUCAAGGUGACACAUCCAGAAUACUCUGAAUUAUGCCUUCCAUGGCCUGUAGGAGAAGUCUUCGUUCAGGCCCAGGGGCGUAGUUCUUCCGCAUUUUUCUGAGAUGAUCAAUUAUUAUGUUAGUUUCAUUGAAAAUCUGAGAAAGACUCAAGGAAUUCCCCUUAUAAACCGGUUGGAAAUUCUCAUUAAAAGAAAAAUUCUCAUUAAAAGGAAAUUCUCAUUAAAGCAAAACAAAAAGAGUAUUCUCUCCCUCUUUGCACUUUCCUCUUUUCUCCUGCCUGUCCUCCUGGUUGGCCUGAGCACCCUCAGAGUUGCAGUGAUGUUGGGAGAGGACCGCGGGCACACCUGUGGCAGGUAUUCGAUGUAGCAGAAGAAAGAAAGGCAGAGGGAGUGGCUGUUGCCUUCACUGCUCAUGUCCAGAAGCAUCUUCGGGGCUUCAUUUGUGGCCUUCAGUUCCAAAAGCUGAUGUGCCCCAGAUGGGAGGCGAAUGGCCAAGCAUUGAAUCAGUGGAAAUCAAAGCCAGUCUUUGAAUUGUUAGUGUGAUCUGUUCUCAACCUAGAAACCAGCGAGCCCUUAGACAGUACAAUGUAUAUUUGCCCCAAUAGGCUUUUGUCUCACUGGCUGGCCCCAUUACCUGCCUGGCUUCCCAUUGCAGAGUGGGUCUCUUGGAAGAGACAGUACUGGUUUCACAGGCCUCCUUUUGUGAUUCCAUCUUGUACCUUCCGGAAUUCUUAAGUGGAUUUUCUUCAGUAGGUUGUAUGUUGUCAGUUUUCCUUGGUCUUGUCUUGUCCUAUUUUCUAGAAUGUUGGGGUGCAUUUGAUGACAUGAUCUCAUCUCUUCCUGCCUCUCAGCGGCUGUGGCGUUGCUCGGAUGUCGGUGUGCAGUUUAUACGAGGUCAUCCCUUUGUUUACUCGAGGACCAUCCCACUGACACACCUGUUGUUCCCUCUGGCGCAGGGUUCUGCUCCCUUGUGUGUUUUUCCAAAUCUGGGGUACUUUGUUCUAAACACCGACAUUUUGCUUUCACCAUCUCAGCUUCUAGCAAGUAUUUCUGAGUAAGGCCUCAUGUUAUCUAACCAGAGUUUCAUUUUCUCCGGAUCUUAUCUUUACGGGUGUGAGAUAUGUGCAGAAUCCCAAUGCCUGGAAAUCCCUCAACUAUUUAUUAUGUGUGUCCGUAUCUGUUUCUCUGCAUUCCUAUCUCUCCUCCUGUGCUAAACGGUGCAUUUUAAAAACACUUUCUGGGUAUUGUUAUCAAGGUUAUAUGUUUAUGUUUUGUUCUUGCUCCUUCUUGCUGAGAAUAUUAUCUUGGUUUCUGAAUCUGGAGUGUAUGUGAAUGAAAGUAUGUGAUUUUUUGUGUGUUUUAUCCCCUUUCAGUGCUAAAAAAAAUACCUACAAACUGAAAGUCACGGUGAACACAUUUGUUAUAAAUACAUAGGUGCUUUUUGAUGUGAGGCUUUUGAAUAACAUUCUCCUUAUUUAAUCACAACUGCCUGUGCUGCUGCUUCUCUUCUUGCUGGUAUCUGACAUAAAAAUUUGGAUUUAGACACGAACUCAGCCAUGGGGAUAGACACAUCAGAACUGGCUUAUGAAUGAGUUAUUUUGUGGGGUUUUAUUACAGAUAGUCCCCUAUCGAGGCAAAUCCGAAGAGGGCUUAAUCAGGUGCCAUUAAAGACUGGACUUAGGGCCGUAAUCCUAAGCCACAGAGUGACACUUAUCUAAAGUAAUCAUCUUGCCUCUCAAGCACAUUUCAGUAGUGUUUGCUAAUCUCGCAAGCAUAUGGGAUCAGGGAGUUAAAAAUAAGAAGCAGGUCAAAUAAAUGUGACUCUGGAAGGGAAAAUCUAUUUGACUGAGUUACUUGUUUAUAUUUUUAAAGGGAAACAAAGGAGUACGUUUUACUACUAUGAAGAGAUUAUUGUUAACCUCUAGAAGAGAGCAAAACUAAAUUAGUACUAGCGUUGAGUUACCAAUCCGAAUGCCUUUCCAUCUGUGUCAGGGUGAGACGUCCGGCUCAGGUUCGUGUACCCUGGAAGGCCUCAGGCCAAGGGGGCCCUCCUAACAGUGGGAAAAUAUCCCUUGCCGGGCUGACAAGAUUACAA